Molecule: non-coding RNA, 115 nt
Organism: Triticum aestivum (bread wheat)
Lineage: Eukaryota; Viridiplantae; Streptophyta; Magnoliopsida; Poales; Poaceae
Source: Rfam
AAUCUACUCCCUCCGUUCUAAAUUACUUGUCGCAGAAAUGGAUGUAUCUAGAACUAAAAUACAUCUAGAUACAUCCAUUUCUGCGACGAGCAAUUCGGAACGGAGGAAGUAGGAU